UACAGAGGUCCCAAGCGUUGUUCGGAUUCAUUGGGCGUAAAGGGUGCGUAGGCGGCGCGGUAAGUCGGGUGUGAAAUCUCGGGGCCUAACUCCGAAACUGCAUUCGAUACUGCCGUGCUUGAGGACUGGAGAGGAGACUGGAAUUUACGGUGUAGCGGUGAAAUGCGUAGAUAUCGUAAGGAAGACCAGUGGCGAAGGCGGGUCUCUGGACAGUUCCUGACGCUGAGGCACGAAGGCCAGGGGAGCAAACGGG
RNAcentral lists this ribosomal RNA (253 nucleotides) under uncultured bacterium. RNAcentral's name for it is "partial 16S ribosomal RNA". It matches the Rfam family "Bacterial small subunit ribosomal RNA", at positions 524 to 776 of the family's 1533-position model. The record is from RNAcentral.